CGGUGAUGAUGUCACAAACUUUGAACGGCAGACUGUAAGAAGGGGGAUGAAGCAAGCCAUGGAUGCCUAUUACUGCUUGAUUACAGUUCUAGCCAUACAUGGGUGCCUUGUCCAUGGACUCGGUUCGGAAGAAUACAUCUUACAGGUUAAGCCAAAUUGUGGAAAGGAUCUGAAGACUGACAAUCCGGUCAUCACGGUUUUAUCUGAUCGGAUAAUAUACGCUACAGCGAAAUGUUUGAACGGAGACCAAUCUUUUUUAUCUCAAGAUGGUGUUCACUAUCAGAUAAGGGGUACCUUCAGUGCUGGCAAUAAAAACUGUAGA
Molecule: long non-coding RNA, 322 nt
Organism: Patella vulgata (common limpet)
Lineage: Eukaryota; Metazoa; Mollusca; Gastropoda; Patellidae
Exons: 4
Source: RefSeq, a predicted model, not a curated record